GACGAACCGUGCGAACGUUAUUCGGAAUCACUGGGCUUAAAGCGCGUGUAGGCGGGACGGCACGUCGGUCGCUGGAAGCCCCCGGCUCAACCCCGGAACUGCAUCCGAUACUGCCGUGCUAGAGGAUUGGAGAGGUAGCUGGAAUUCUUGGUGUAGCAGUGAAAUGCGUGGAGAUCAAGAGGAACACUCGUGGCGAAAGCGAGCUACUGGACAAUUCCUGACGCUGAGGCGACGAAGGCGUGGGGAGCGAACGGG
RNAcentral lists this ribosomal RNA (255 nucleotides) under uncultured bacterium. RNAcentral describes it as "partial 16S ribosomal RNA". It matches the Rfam family "Bacterial small subunit ribosomal RNA", at positions 524 to 776 of the family's 1533-position model. The record is from RNAcentral.